UGGCGGCGUAUGCGCUGUCCUGUGUUGAUAGACGUCUUAAUAAUUCCAAAAAACAACAUUUUUCCAUGAAGUCAUGCGUGAGGGGAUCGGUUCUGAUUGAGGACAUCGUGAAUGCGUGAGGGGAAGUACAAACAUUUUUUUUUUUAAUCUUUGGCUUUGUGACUUUUGUUGACUCAAUGAAUAAAUGUGAUCAAAUCAAUGCUGAUUAAAAAUCACAGAUUUAUCCUUAUACUUU
RNAcentral lists this long non-coding RNA (235 nucleotides) under Mytilus galloprovincialis (Mediterranean mussel). The record is from RNAcentral. Lineage: Eukaryota; Metazoa; Mollusca; Bivalvia; Mytilida; Mytilidae.